RNAcentral lists this ribosomal RNA (497 nucleotides) under uncultured bacterium. Its description in RNAcentral is "partial 16S ribosomal RNA". It matches the Rfam family "Bacterial small subunit ribosomal RNA", at positions 28 to 507 of the family's 1533-position model. The record is from RNAcentral.
GAUGAACGCUGGCGGCGUGCCUAAUACGUGCAAGUCGAGCGAACAGAUAAGGAGCUUGCUCCUUUGACGUUAGCGGCGGACGGGUGAGUAACACGUGGGUAACCUACCUAUAAGACUGGGAUAACUUCGGGAAACCGGAGCUAAUACCGGAUAACAUUUGGAACCGCAUGGUUCUAAAGUGAAAGAUGGUUUUGCUAUCACUUAUAGAUGGACCCGCGCCGUAUUAGCUAGUUGGUAAGGUAACGGCUUACCAAGGCAACGAUACGUAGCCGACCUGAGAGGGUGAUCGGCCACACUGGAACUGAGACACGGUCCAGACUCCUACGGGAGGCAGCAGUAGGGAAUCUUCCGCAAUGGGCGAAAGCCUGACGGAGCAACGCCGCGUGAGUGAUGAAGGGUUUCGGCUCGUAAAACUCUGUUAUUAGGGAAGAACAAACGUGUAAGUAACUGUGCACGUCUUGACGGUACCUAAUCAGAAAGCCACGGCUAACUACGUG